GGUGGCUCAGUGGAAGAGCACUUGCCUUGCAUACAUGAGGCCCUGGGUUCAAUUCCUCAGCACCA
Molecule: transfer RNA, 65 nt
Filed under: Dipodomys ordii (Ord's kangaroo rat)
Lineage: Eukaryota; Metazoa; Chordata; Mammalia; Rodentia; Heteromyidae
Rfam family: tRNA
About the family: Transfer RNA (tRNA) molecules are approximately 80 nucleotides in length. Their secondary structure includes four short double-helical elements and three loops (D, anti-codon, and T loops). Further hydrogen bonds mediate the characteristic L-shaped molecular structure. tRNAs have two regions of fundamental functional importance: the anti-codon, which is responsible for specific mRNA codon recognition, and the 3' end, to which the tRNAs corresponding amino acid is attached (by aminoacyl-tRNA synthetases). tRNAs cope with the degeneracy of the genetic code in two manners: having more than one tRNA (with a specific anti-codon) for a particular amino acid; and 'wobble' base-pairing, i.e. permitting non-standard base-pairing at the 3rd anti-codon position.
Source: Rfam by way of RNAcentral